UAUUAUAUUAUAUUAUAUUAUUAUAACAAAAAGUUAAAGAAAAACAAAUAAAAAUAAAAGAAAGCAACAAAGGGAGAAAAGAAACAGAAUAGCUAGAAAAGAACAGAGGAAGAGACGAAGGCAGGGGAAAGAAAGAUAAAAGGGAAACUUUGGGAUUUGAAGCUUGAAGUUCAAUAGGUAAGCUAAAUCAAGUCCUUUUCUCAUAAAAUUUGAUGUUUUUGGAAUCCUAGAGUGAAAUACUCUUGGAUUUAAGUUGAAAAUUUGAAAGUUAAUAGAUUUUUUAGUAGGGUUUAUGUUGAAUAAAUGAUGGAAUUGAGGGUUUAUUUGAUAGAGUUUCUAGCUAGAUUUGAUAAAAGGAUUAAAUUGUGAACUAAACUAUAAGUUUUGAAUUGUAGGGAUUAAAUUGAGGAAAUUCGAAAUUAGUGAAAUAUGCUGAAAAAUUUAUAGUUAAAUUUGAGUUUGGAUGAAAUUUGAAUAGAAAUAGAAUGUGAAUUGAAGUGAAUUAGAAAAGUAAGUGAAUUUAGUUAGGAUUAAAUUGAGAAUAAGGAAGAAAUUGAAUAGAAAUUCAAUUAUUUAUUAUAAUCAGUGCUGUAAUUAAUAGUAUAAAUUAUUAUUAUUUCCGUAGCUAACAAAGAACCCGAGGCAUCAGCAUCAAAGGGAAAGGAGAAGAUUAUCGAGAGGAAUAAACUCGAGAAAAUCACGGUUUGUAUUACUAUAAUUCAAGUUAUUUAUUAUUAAAUGUAGAUUUUAAUUUAUGAGGUUGGUAAAUGGAAUGUGAGGUAAGUAGUAUUAUUAUUAAUAUUAUUAGUGUGAAUUAAAUUGAAUAUUUAAAAUGAAUUAAUAUUUGAAUUGUUUGUUGAUUGAAAGCGGAAAGUGAAUUUGAAUCGAAUUGUGACUGAUAUUAAAUUGAAUGGAAAUGUAUUGAAUUGUGAAAAUGUGUGAAUUUGUGGACGAAUUAUCGAUUGAAAGGUGGAAAUGUGAUUGAAUUGAAAAUGUGAGAAAUUGUGAUUUAAAUACCCUAUUAACUAGUCGGGCUGAGUCGGAUAUAAUUGGCAUGCCAUAGGAUUUGGAAGAGUACGGGAUUUAUCGGCUUUGCCGAUCAGGCACUUUAUGUGUCGAAUCUCAGGCACUUUAUGUGUCGUAUCUCAGGCACUUUAUGUGUCAUAUCAGGCACCUCGUGUGUCGUUUCAGACACUUAUGUGUCGUAUACUGAUCAGGUACUAUGUACCGUUUUAGGCACAAUGUGCCGUACUGGUGUGUUUGGUUGGAAUCCGUGUAUCCGCCAAAGUCCGAGUUUUGUUAAUAGGGUAAUUAAUGAAAUGAUAAACCGAACGAGUUGAUCGAACGAGCUACUGAAAUGAAAUGAAAAGUUGAAUUGUGAAUUGAAAUGUGAAAUGAGAUUGAGAAUUGAAUCUAAAGUUUAUGAUAUGUUCAAUUUCAAAUUGUGGAUAUGUGAUAUUGAUUGAUAUAUUGUUAUUGUUGAAAUAUUGAAUUAAUAUUUGUAUAUAAGAUUUAUGCAUUAUAUAUUUAUUAUUGUUAUAAUUUGAAUUAUAGUAAUACCACUGAGUAUGAAUUACUCAGCGUACGGUUGUUUCCGUGCGCAGGUCGAUAGAAGUCAAAAGUCCCGGUUCAGCAUCCAGAUAAAUCCCGACUUCAACAAAACUUGGUGAUGUAUUCUUUCAUUGGUAAAGGUGGCAUGUACAUAUAUUGUGCAUAAAUGUUAUUAUGUUUUAAUAUAAAUGGUUAGUUAAGAUUAUGUUUUGGUGUUAUAUAUGUGUAAAUGGUAACUAGUUCAAAGAAGCAGUUACGUGAAUGUGAAAAAUCACUAUAAAUAGUAGAAAUGGAAUUAGAGAGUGAAUGAUAUAUAGAAUUAAAGCUUAUCAAGUCUAUUUUUACAGGAAAUAAAUGGUGUAGGAAAAAAAGAAUUUUAUAUUCUGAUAUAUUAGAGUUUUAGUGAGACGGGGUCAAAACUGUUUUGGAGUCCCCUGUUCUGAGUUGAGAAAAUCAUUAAAAAUGGUACAAAUAUAGUUAUGAGUUGUAGUUUAUAUGUAUAGAAUCCUUAUUGAGUCUAUUUUCUGUAGAAACAAGUAAUAACUUCAUAUGAAAAUACUACAAUGAGAAAUUUUAUUUUUAGUGACAAGAGGUCAGGG
RNAcentral lists this long non-coding RNA (2150 nucleotides) under Gossypium barbadense (sea-island cotton). RNAcentral's name for it is "long non-coding RNA (GBAR_LNC019310)". Lineage: Eukaryota; Viridiplantae; Streptophyta; Magnoliopsida; Malvales; Malvaceae. The record is from RNAcentral.